Molecule: non-coding RNA, 73 nt
Organism: Operophtera brumata (winter moth)
Lineage: Eukaryota; Metazoa; Arthropoda; Insecta; Lepidoptera; Geometridae
Source: Rfam
CGUUCUAUGGCCGGAUUUGUAAAGGCAUCGCCGAUCACAGGCAAGGUUGCGGGUUCGAGUCCCGCUGGAACGA